Molecule: unclassified non-coding RNA, 225 nt
Filed under: Hevea brasiliensis (rubber tree)
Lineage: Eukaryota; Viridiplantae; Streptophyta; Magnoliopsida; Malpighiales; Euphorbiaceae
Source: RNAcentral
GGAGAUGGGGGAGAGAUAGCUGAGAUGAGUUUAAGAGAAAGAAUGGUAAAACGAAAAGGUGGGGUUAGGGUUUUACAUAGUCCAAUUAUGGGUGGAUGUACAUAAGGAAAAUUGGUGUUUUUUUUCUUUUCCUAAGAGGAAAUGGGGUAUAGCCAUGUAACUGUGGGGAUACUUGAGGUGAAUUCUUCUCUUCAAUAUAUGAUAUGAAAUAUCUGCUCUUGAUUC